Molecule: RNA transcript, 1331 nt
Organism: Chenopodium quinoa (quinoa)
Lineage: Eukaryota; Viridiplantae; Streptophyta; Magnoliopsida; Caryophyllales; Amaranthaceae
Exons: 2
Source: RefSeq, a predicted model, not a curated record
UUCCUCGAUCUUUCCUCUUCUCAAAUCAUCUGCCUCUCUCUCUCCUCCAUUGAAGCGUACUCGAAUUUCUCCAUUGAAGGGGCUUCUGAGUUUUCUCCUUUCAUUCGAUCUUUCCUCUUCUCAUACUCUUUCUUCUCUCUUUCAUUCGAUCUCCUUUUCCUUCUCUCUUUCUACAAUAUUGGAGGUUAGGGUUUCUGGGUGCGUCUAUUUUGAAUCAAUUCGUUGGUGUUUAAAUAUAGGGAUGGUGUUUUUUGUGUGAUCCUCUUGAUUGAGUGACCGGAAAUUAUUGGUGUUGGUGAACUUUAGGAGAGGGAUUUGGAAAGGAGAGAAGGGAAAGUGUAAGAGAUCUUGUCUGAUAGGUUAGGGAAAUCGGGGAUCUGAAUUGUGAUGACUGGAUUGUAUUAAGUUGGAAUCAUUCGAAAUGGAGCUUGUCCUUGUAUAUUAACCUUAGUGGCUGUGUUUUGUGCACAUGCUUGUUUGCUCAUGAUCAUGUGAGUCUUAUAAUGGAAUCCUGGACAAUUUUUCAUUGCUCGUACCAGUAAAAAAGCAAUCUUAACCAACUUUGUCUGCCAUUUCCUUUGUACUUUCAGCAAAGUAUCUUGUAUCUAUCUUUGUUUGUUCUGGGUGCUAUGAUUAUUGCUAUCACAUUGCCUAUCGAGAUGUAUAGAGUCUUGAUGCAUAAUUGCGUAUUACAUUCAUAAUAUCUUUGUAAAUUGUGUUAGCUUAUAUUUUUAAUGCGUUCUAGGCAAAACAGAGGAAAAGACUUUCAAUUAGUGAACUAUCUGACAGAGCAGCCAAAGUUCUUGGUGAUCAUCAGACAGAAUCUGUCUUUGGUAGUUUUAGAAGACCAGCUUCCAGAAAUGAGUUGUUGAAAGCUAAUAGGGCUAUAAAGCUGCUUAAAAAGAGGGCAAUGUCAAAAGAAGAGAAGAUAUCUGCUGCAAUGGCUGCUGGACUUGAUUGGGAAAGUGAUGAUUCAGAAGAUGAAGUUCCAGUAAUAAUUGUUCACCUUAAAACAUCAAUUUCUCCUGGUGAAAAAUUCUGCUUUUUUUUGUAUUUGAUUAUUCAUUACACUUUUCUUUGGGAUGGGUUCAGCAACAACCACUGAAGGAGCCUCCAUUGCCCGAUCUCUUCAAGGACGAGGAGCAUUAUAACCUCAUUUCAGAUGUCAGUCUUUAUUUCGCGACAAUUUUGCUAAUGUUGCUUGCUUGAAUAAUAAAACUGCAUUGAUUCAUUUUUUUUUUAUACCAGUGCUACUAUCCUUCUACUGGCCAAACUUUAAUUCUUACGUACUUUCUAGGAUGUUGUAUGCUUCACUUGAAUUUCUCGUUCAA